This 468-nucleotide ribosomal RNA is filed under the name uncultured bacterium. RNAcentral describes it as "partial 16S ribosomal RNA". It matches the Rfam family "Bacterial small subunit ribosomal RNA", at positions 28 to 507 of the family's 1533-position model. The record is from RNAcentral.
GACGAACGCUGGCGGCGUGCUUAACACAUGCAAGUCGAACGGAAAGGCCCUGCUUUUGUGGGGUUCUCGAGUGGCGAACGGGUGAGUAACACGUGAGUAUCCUGCCCUUGACUUUGGGAUAACUUCAGGAAACUGGGGCUAAUACCGGAUAGGAUCUCCUGCUCCAUGGUGGGGGUUGGAAAGUUUCGGCGGUUGGGGAUGGACUCGCGGCUUAUCAGCUUGCUGGUGGGGUAGUGGCUUACCAAGGCUUUGACGGGUAGCCGGCCUGAGAGGGUGACCGGCCACAUUGGGACUGAGAUACGGCCCAGACUCCUACGGGAGGCAGCGGUGGGGAGUAUUACACAAUGGGCGGAAGCCUGAUGCAGCAGCGCCGCGUGCGGGAUGACGGCCUUCGGGCUGUAAACCGCUUUCGCCUGUGACGAAGCGUGUGUGACGGUAAUGGGUAAAGAAGCACCGGCUAACUACGUG